This 434-nucleotide ribosomal RNA is filed under the name uncultured bacterium. Its description in RNAcentral is "partial 16S ribosomal RNA". It matches the Rfam family "Bacterial small subunit ribosomal RNA", at positions 29 to 507 of the family's 1533-position model. The record is from RNAcentral.
AGCGAACGCUGGCGGCAGGCCUAACACAUGCAAGUCGAACGAACCUUUCGGGGUUAGUGGCGGACGGGUGAGUAACACGUGGGAACGUGCGUUUAGGUUCGGAAUAACUCAGGGAAACUUGUGCUAAUACCGAAGGUGCCCUUCGGGGGAAAGAUUUAUCGCCUUUAGAGCGGCCCGCGUCUGAUUAGCUAGUUGGUUGAGGUAAUGGCUCACCAAGGCGACGAUCAGUAGCUGGUCUGAGAGGAUGAUCAGCCACAUUGGGACUGAGACACGGCCCAAACUCCUACGGGAGGCAGCAGUGGGGAAUCUUGCGCAAUGGGCGAAAGCCUGACGCAGCCAUGCCGCGUGAAUGAUGAAGGUCUUAGGAUUGUAAAAUUCUUUCACCGGGGACGAUAAUGACGGUACCCGGAGAAGAAGCCCCGGCUAACUUCGUG